Molecule: ribosomal RNA, 465 nt
Filed under: uncultured bacterium
Lineage: Bacteria
Description: partial 16S ribosomal RNA
Rfam family: Bacterial small subunit ribosomal RNA
Source: RNAcentral
GACGAACGCUGGCGGCGUGCUUAACACAUGCAAGUCGAACGGAAAGGCCCUGCCUGCAGGGUACUCGAGUGGCGAACGGGUGAGUAACACGUGGGUGAUCUGCCCUGCACUUCGGGAUAAGCCUGGGAAACUGGGUCUAAUACCGGAUAGGAGCCAUUUUUAGUGUGAUGGUUGGAAAGUUUUUUCGGUGUAGGAUGAGCUCGCGGCCUAUCAGCUUGUUGGUGGGGUAAUGGCCUACCAAGGCGGCUACGGGUAGCCGGCCUGAGAGGGUGGACGGCCACAUUGGGACUGAGAUACGGCCCAGACUCCUACGGGAGGCAGCAGUGGGGAAUAUUGCACAAUGGGCGCAAGCCUGAUGCAGCGACGCCGCGUGGGGGAUGACGGCCUUCGGGUUGUAAACUCCUUUCGCUAGGGACGAAGCUUUUUGUGACGGUACCUAGAUAAGAAGCACCGGCUAACUACGUG